AACCAAAAGUAAAAACACAAACACAAAACACUGACAUUGAACAAUAUAAAUAGUAACUAAGUAAGAUUAGUAACUAAUAUUAUGUAUGUAUUUUAAUUUAAUACAUUUUGUGCAUAUUGGAAACAGUAAUUGAGUUUAAAUUCGAAAUGGAGUUAAGUGAAGAUUCUACAGAAAGAAAACAAAAUAUUUUAAUACCUGACAAAGGUAGAGGUUCUGUAGAGCAAUAUGUUAAUGUACAAAUUAAAUCAGAACUGGAGGAAUGCAGGCUUGAGCUUGAAAGUAAUUACACAGAGAAUUAUUUAUCAGAGUCAUAUUGUUCCGAUAAUAUUAAAAUAGAAGAACAUGUGCUACAAUAUGAUAUAAGUAACCCAUACCCUGUCAUUACCAAACAAGAAGUUAAGACAGAAAUCAAAGAAGAACUGGAUGAACAUAACUUACAAGUAAAUCACGGGUGUGACACUCUAUUUAACAGUACAGAUACUGAAAAAUUAGAUUCGGAGAGAGAUGUAAAAUUGCAAAUAGGAGCUUCACCUGAGAUAGAUGAUGAAAAACAUUGCAGAAGUAUAAAAACAGAAAAAUUAUUGCCCAGCAUUGACAAAAAAGGUUUACGUCAGAAUGAAGUUAAAACGAAAUGUGAAGGAUCUUUGAUAACACAAACACGAGAAAAUUCGUACAAGUGUGAAACAUGUUUGAAGGAAUUUACUGUGUUAAGAUCUUUAAAGAGGCAUUUGCAAAUACACACUGGGAACAAACCUUACAAGUGUGAAAUUUGUUUUAAACAAUUUGGUAAAGCAGAAGCUUUAAAAAGGCAUUUGCAAAUACACACUGGGAACAAACCUUACAAGUGCCAAAUUUGUUUGAAGCAAUUUAGAGAUGGCAGUUUGAGAAAGCAUUUAAGGAUACACACUGGAGAAAAGCCGCACAAGUGCGAAAUUUGUUUUAAGCAAUUUAGUGAAGUAGGAAAUUUGAAAAAGCAUUUAAGAAUACACUCUAAAGAAAAGCCUUAUAAGUGCGAAAUCUGUUUUAAGCAAUUUAGUCGAAAUGACCAUUUGAAAGUGCAUGUAAGGCUCCACACUGGAGAAAAGUCUUACAAGUGUGAAAUUUGUUUUAAACAAUUUAGUCAAGAUGGCAGUUUGAGAAAUCAUUUAAGGAUACACACUGGGGAAAAGCCUUACAACUGCGAAAUUUGUUUGAAGCAAUUUAGUCAAGCAGGUAGUUUGAAAAAUCAUAUCAAAUCGCACACUGGAGAAAAGCCUUAUAAGUGCGAAAUAUGUUUUAAGCAAUUUAGUGAAGCAGGAAAUUUGAAAAAGCAUUUAAGAGUGCACACUGGCGAAAAGCCUUACAAGUGUGAAAUUUGUUUUAAACAAUUCAGUCAAGAUGGAAAUUUGAAAGAGCAUUUAAGAAUACACACUUAAGAAAAGUCUUUAAAGUGUGAAAUUUGUUCUAAACAAUUUGGUCAAGAUGAAACUUUCUACGAAAAAGCAACAGUCACAGUAAAACAUCCACACCAAACCAAUAAAAAUAAGUAGAGGAAUUAGGCAAGGGGACACAAUAUCCCCAAAAUUAUUUACACAAGCUAUUGGAAUAUGUUUUGUAACGUUGGAAAUUACGGGAAUAUGUAAAAAAUUGACAGCAAUGAGGAAUGAUAUAUGAUAAUUAGACUUAGGCAAAUAUGCAAAUUGCAUAUUAUGCAUAAAAGAUGCAAAAAUAUCCAAUUUUGCAUAUUUUCAUAUAAAUGUGCAUAAAGUACAUAUAAUUUGAAAGUUUGGUGUAUAUAUUUUAAUAUUCAUAUAACAAAUAGCUUGGAAAUCUCAAUAUUUAAUUUUGUUUUAUAGACUCUUGGUAUUCAAAUUUUUGUUAUCGGAACUAAUAAAAGAUACCGUCUUAUGCAUAAUUUUGUCACGUUUUUUCCUUGAUACAAGGGUUCCAAAAUCUGCCAGUUUAUAUCACUAUAUAGUGGCCGGUUUCACCAACGACAAUUAGUAUUUUAUUCUAUGAAUAAAGUUAUUCGACCAAUAAACUGGCAUUACUCCAUUUUACUAACGUCAAAUAAGACUUAUUUUAUUUAUUUAUUAAAUAAAUAGUUAAUCUUUUUUGUUUACUUCAAUCAUCAACUGGUCUAAUUAAUAAAAGAGGCUGCUUCCAUAUUUAUCAUUUAUUUCCUAGGAUUAUAUUGGAUUACUACAAAAAUACAAAUUUUAUCUCUUAACAUAACAUGUCUAACGUCUAUCAUCUGUCAGUUCUCUUCUUAUUAGAAAAAGGACAGGAAGGAGGUUUUUAACGAUCUACAACAAUCUUCGAACAAAUUGGCAAGUUAAUCUCACUGUAAAUAUUUACAAGAAAGUAUAUUCGUCAAUUUAACUUUAAAUUAUCAGAAUUAUAUUGAAACAAAAUAAAAAUAUAAACGUCUAAUAAAUUUUAUUCGAAGAAUAACUAAAUAUUCAUUGAUUUAUUUGUUGUUUGUUGGUGAAACCGGGCCUAGGUAAAUUUUUUUAGUUUGACGGUCCUUUUCAAUUUUGUUGUAAAAUAAGCCGUGAACACCUGUGUUCAGUGUCAUUCAUAAAAUCAAACUAUAGUUUCGUUCAGAAAACUAUUACCCAAUUAGAUUCCUCCAAAUUAUCAAUGUUAGACAGUACAUUUUUAAUAAAAGAAUUUGAAUCAUUGUCUCAAAACGUUAAAAGUAAAAUAUAUUGGAAAGAAAACUUUCCAAACAUUUUCCAACAACCAUGGAAAAAACAGUGGUUACCAGGUUCUUUCUGAAGUGGUUCAAGUAGAGCUUGGAUAUUUUCCUAACCACUUAAUUUAGAGCCAACUAUUAUGGUGAAUUUGAAAAAUGCCCCAGUUACAUCAGUUGAUGUCGUAAGAAGUUUUUCUAUGUACUCAGAUAGAAGCCAUAUGUUUCUGUUCAUUUUUUUGUUACCACAAUUCGAAAUAAUAUCAUUUAUUUGUUAAAAUACUUAAAUAUUUAAUUACAUAAGCUUAGUUUAUAAAGUACAUACACAUGUUAAUUAAUACAACAUGUGAAGAUAUUUUAAAUAUUUUUGUAAAUUAAAAAAUGUUGUAAAUAUUUUUUUAUUACAUGCAUAUUUUCUAGAUAAUCUUGCAUAUUUUUGGGUAAAAUACUGCAUAUUUAUGCGCAUAUUUCAUACCUUUUUAUUUGCAUAUUUGCCUAAGUCUAAUGAUAAUAUUAAAAACAAAGUAGGUCGUUGUUGUUAAUAA
This 3219-nucleotide unclassified non-coding RNA is filed under the name Diabrotica virgifera virgifera (western corn rootworm). RNAcentral's name for it is "zinc finger protein 883-like". Lineage: Eukaryota; Metazoa; Arthropoda; Insecta; Coleoptera; Chrysomelidae. The record is from RNAcentral.